RNAcentral lists this ribosomal RNA (451 nucleotides) under uncultured bacterium. Its description in RNAcentral is "bacterial SSU rRNA". It matches the Rfam family "Bacterial small subunit ribosomal RNA", at positions 355 to 798 of the family's 1533-position model. The record is from RNAcentral.
UAGGGAAUCUUCGGCAAUGGACGGAAGUCUGACCGAGCAACGCCGCGUGAGUGAAGAAGGUUUUCGGAUCGUAAAGCUCUGUUGUAAGAGAAGAACGAGUGUGAGAGUGGAAAGUUCACACUGUGACGGUACCUUACCAGAAAGGGACGGCUAACUACGUGCCAGCAGCCGCGGUAAUACGUAGGUCCCGAGCGUUGUCCGGAUUUAUUGGGCGUAAAGCGAGCGCAGGCGGUUAGAUAAGUCUGAAGUUAAAGGCUGUGGCUUAACCAUAGUACGCUUUGGAAACUGUUUAACUUGAGUGCAAGAGGGGAGAGUGGAAUUCCAUGUGUAGCGGUGAAAUGCGUAGAUAUAUGGAGGAACACCAGUGGCGAAAGCGGCUCUCUGGCUUGUAACUGACGCUGAGGCUCGAAAGCGUGGGGAGCAAACAGGAUUAGAUACCCUGGUAGUCCAC